Molecule: ribosomal RNA, 493 nt
Filed under: Dujonia zeylanoides
Lineage: Eukaryota; Fungi; Ascomycota; Pichiomycetes; Serinales; Debaryomycetaceae
Description: eukaryotic LSU rRNA
Rfam family: Eukaryotic large subunit ribosomal RNA
Source: RNAcentral
CUCAAAUUUGAAAUCUAGCACUUUCAGUGUUCGAGUUGUAAUUUGAAGAAGGUAACUUUGGUUUUGGCUCUUGUCUAUGUUCCUUGGAACAGGACGUCACAGAGGGUGAGAAUCCCGUGCGAUGAGAUGCCCAAUUCCAUGUAAAGUGCUUUCGAAGAGUCGAGUUGUUUGGGAAUGCAGCUCUAAGUGGGUGGUAAAUUCCAUCUAAAGCUAAAUAUUGGCGAGAGACCGAUAGCGAACAAGUACAGUGAUGGAAAGAUGAAAAGAACUUUGAAAAGAGAGUGAAAAAGUACGUGAAAUUGUUGAAAGGGAAGGGCUUGAGAUCAGACUUGGUAUUUUGCGUUCCCUUCCUUUUUGGUUGGGUUCCUCGCAGUUUACUGGGCCAGCAUCGGUUUGGAUGGUAGGAUAAUGACAUUGGAAUGUAGCUUUACUUCGGUGAAGUGUUAUAGACUUUGUUGAUACUGCCUAUCUAGACCGAGGACUGCGUCUUGAC